Molecule: ribosomal RNA, 574 nt
Filed under: uncultured bacterium
Lineage: Bacteria
Description: bacterial SSU rRNA
Rfam family: Bacterial small subunit ribosomal RNA
Source: RNAcentral
UGACUCGACGCCGCGUGUGUGAAAAGCCUGCGGGUUGUAAAGCACUUUUAGUGGGGAGAAAAAGCUACGGGCCAAUACCCUGUGGUCUUGAUUUAACCCAAAGAAAAAGCACCGGCUAACUCUGUGCCAGCAGCCGCGGUAAUACAGAGGGUGCAAGCGUUAAUCGGAAUUACUGGGCGUAAAGCGUGCGUAGACGGUUGUUUAAGUCGGAUGUGAAAGCCCCGGGCUCAACCUGGGAAUUGCAUUCGAGACUGAAUAGCUAGGGUGCGGAAGAGGGAAGCGGAAUUUCCGGUGUAGCAGUGAAAUGCGUAGAUAUCGGAAGGAACAUCAGUGGCGAAAGCGGCUUCCUGGUCCAGCACCGACGUUCAGGCACGAAAGCGUGGGGAGCAAACAGGAUUAGAUACCCUGGUAGUCCACGCCAUAAACGAUGAGGACUAGACGUUGGAGGGGUUAGCCUUUCAGUGUCGAAGCUAACGCGAUAAGUCCUCCGCCUGGGGCGUACGGNCGCAAGGUUGAAACUCAAAGGAAUUGACGGGGACCGCACAAGCGGUGGAGCAUGUGGUUUAAUUCGAUG